UAGGUUUGUCCUAAGUCAAACUUCUUUAAGUUUGACCAUGUAUAUACAAAAAUAGAUUGACAUCUACAACAUCAAAUAAACAUAGUAUGAACAUAUAUUUUAUGAUGAAUGUAAUGAGACUAAUUUUGUGUUGUAUAUGUUAUAUUUUUUGUCAGACUUGGUCAAACUUAAAGAUCUUUGACUUAGGACAAACUAGA
RNAcentral lists this microRNA precursor (197 nucleotides) under Triticum aestivum (bread wheat). Its description in RNAcentral is "MIR1435 microRNA precursor family". It matches the Rfam family "MIR1435 microRNA precursor family". Lineage: Eukaryota; Viridiplantae; Streptophyta; Magnoliopsida; Poales; Poaceae. The record is from Rfam by way of RNAcentral. RNAcentral also lists the same sequence under 1 other name.